GUCUCUUCGGAGACAUCCGAUAAAAUUGGAACAAUACAGAGAAGAUUAGCAUGGUCCCUGCGCAAGGAUGACACGUACAAAUCGAGAAAUGGUCCUAUUUUUU
RNAcentral lists this small nuclear RNA (103 nucleotides) under Oryza barthii. Lineage: Eukaryota; Viridiplantae; Streptophyta; Magnoliopsida; Poales; Poaceae. The record is from RNAcentral.